RNAcentral lists this ribosomal RNA (859 nucleotides) under uncultured Caulobacterales bacterium. RNAcentral describes it as "bacterial SSU rRNA". It matches the Rfam family "Bacterial small subunit ribosomal RNA", at positions 8 to 916 of the family's 1533-position model. The record is from RNAcentral. Lineage: Bacteria; Pseudomonadati; Pseudomonadota; Alphaproteobacteria; Caulobacterales.
AGAGUUUGAUCCUGGCUCAGAGCGAACGCUGGCGGCAGGCUUAACACAUGCAAGUCGAACGAUCCUUCGGGAUAGUGGCGGACGGGUGAGUAACACGUGGGAACGUGCCUUUAGGUUCGGAACAACACAGGGAAACUUGUGCUAAUACCGGAUGUGCCCUUCGGGGGAAAGAUUUAUCGCCUUUAGAGCGGCCCGCGUCUGAUUAGCUUGUUGGUGAGGUAAAGGCUCACCAAGGCUACGAUCAGUAGCUGGUCUGAGAGGAUGGCCAGCCACAUUGGGACUGAGACACGGCCCAAACUCCUACGGGAGGCAGCAGUGGGGAAUCUUGCGCAAUGGGGGAAACCCUGACGCAGCCAUGCCGCGUGGAUGAUGAAGGUCUUAGGAUUGUAAAAUCCUUUCAGCGGGGACGAUAAUGACGGUACCCGCAGAAGAAGCCCCGGCUAACUUCGUGCCAGCAGCCGCGGUAAUACGAAGGGGGCUAGCGUUGCUCGGAUUUACUGGGCGUAAAGGGCGCGUAGGCGGAUAGUUAAGUUGGGGGUGAAAGCCCGGGGCUCAACCUCGGAAUUGCCUUCAAUACUGGCUAUCUUGAGUGUGAGAGAGGUGUGUGGAACUCCGAGUGUAGAGGUGAAAUUCGUAGAUAUUCGGAAGAACACCAGUGGCGAAGGCGACACACUGGCUCACUACUGACGCUGAGGCGCGAAAGCGUGGGGAGCAAACAGGAUUAGAUACCCUGGUAGUCCACGCUGUAAACGAUGAGUGCUAGUUGUCGGGCGGCAUGCCGUUCGGUGACGCAGCUAACGCAUUAAGCACUCCGCCUGGGGAGUACGGUCGCAAGAUUAAAACUCAAAGGAAUUGACGG